UCAAGCUAAAAAGAGCGCAAGGGGAAUGCCUUGGCAUCAGGAGCCGAAGAAGGACGUGACAAGCUGCGAAAAGCCUCGGGGAGGAGCAAAUAUCCAUUGAUCCGGGGAUAUCCGAAUGGGGCAACCCGGCUGGACAAUAUCCAGUCAUCCUGCGUUGAACAAAAUAGGCGUAGGAAGGGAACCGCCUGAACUGAAACAUCUAAGUAGGGCGAGGAAGAGACAUCAACCGAGAUUCCGCAAGUAGUGGCGAGCGAACGCGGAAGAGGCCAAACCGAGGGAUUUAUUCCUCGGGGUUGCGGACAGUCAUUUAGCGGAAGUUAUCUAGGAGAAGGGUCUGGGAAGGCCCGCCACAGAGGGUGAGAGCCCCGUAUCCGAAAGAGAAGGCCGUGCGACUGAAUCCAGAGUACCGCGGGACACGUGAAACCCCGUGGGAAACAGGGGGGACCACCCUCCAAGCCUAAAUACUACCUGAUGACCGAUAGAGGAGCAGUACCGUGAGGGAAAGGUGAAAAGGACCCCGGGAGGGGAGUGAAAGAGAACCUGAAACCUUGUGCUUACAAACAGUCAAAGGCCUACGGGCUGAUGGCGUACUUUUUGUAGAACGGUCCGGCGAGUUACUAAUGCCAGCGAGGUUAAGAUGUCAGAAGCAUCGGAGCCGAAGGGAAACCAAGUCUGAAUAGGGCGUAGAGUUGGUAUUAGUAGACCCGAAACCGGGUGACCUAUCCAUGUCCAGGUUGAAGGAACCGUAAAAGGUUUUGGAGGACCGAACACACAUGUGUUGAAAAACGUGGUGAUGAGGUGUGGAUAGCGGAGAAAUUCCAAUCGAACUCGGAGAUAGCUGGUUCUCCUCGAAAUAGCUUUAGGGCUAGCCUCGAGCUGGAGUCUAACGGAGGUAAAGCACUGAACUGACGCGGGGCCCAAAAAGGUUACCAACUCAUAUCAAACUAAGAAUGCCGUCAAGAUACCCUCGGGAGUCAGUCUGCGUGAGAUAAGUCGCGUGGACAAAAGGGAAAGAGCCCAGACCGACAGCUAAGGUCCCAAAGUACGUGUUAAGUGGAAAAGGAUGUGGGAUUUCAUAGACAACUAGGAUGUUGGCUUAGAAGCAGCCAUACAUUUAAAGAGUGCGUAAUAGCUCACUAGUCGAGAAAACCUGCGCCGAAAAUGUAACGGGGCUAAAACACGACACCGAAGCUACGGAUUCCUUACAAAGUAAGGAGUGGUAGAGGAGCAUCCUGCAAGGACGAAGCCAAAGUGAGAGCGAUGGUGGACGAAACAGGAGAGAGAAUGCCGGAAUGAGUAGCGAGAUACAUGUGAGAAACAUGUAGGCCGAAUAUCUAAGGAUUCCUGGGUAAAGCUAAUCUUCCCAGGGUUAGUCGGGGCCUAAGGCGAGGACGAAAGUCGUAGUCGAUGGAUAACAGGUUGAUAUUCCUGUACUACACAUAAUCAGAACUGUGGGGACGCAGGAGGAUAGGGAAACCGGGGAAUGGAAAGACCCGGUCAAGCGUAAAGCUGUGGGAGAUAGGCAAAUCCGUCUCCUGUAAGUGAAACGUGAUGAGGACUGAAAAAAAGUAAGGAAGUUUCCGAAUCCACACUGCCGAGAAAAGCCGCUAUUGCGUUAUGUGUACCCGUACCGUAAACCGACACAGGUAGAUGAGGAGAAAAUCCACAGGCCGACGGGAGAAGUGUUGUUAAGGAACUCGGCAAAAUGACCCCGUAACUUCGGGAUAAGGGGAGCCUACGCGAGUAGGCCGCAGAGAAUAGUCUCAAGCGACUGUUUAGCAAAAACACAGGUCUAUGCUAAAUCGAAAGAUGAUGUAUAUGGGCUGACGCCUGCCCGGUGCUGGAAGGUUAAGGGGAAGUGUUAGAGCAAUCGAAGCACUGAACUUAAGCCCCAGUAAACGGCGGCCGUAACUAUAACGGUCCUAAGGUAGCGAAAUUCCUUGUCAGGUAAG
RNAcentral lists this ribosomal RNA (1952 nucleotides) under human gut metagenome. RNAcentral's name for it is "bacterial LSU rRNA". It matches the Rfam family "Bacterial large subunit ribosomal RNA", at positions 3 to 1980 of the family's 2925-position model. The record is from RNAcentral.